Molecule: ribosomal RNA, 484 nt
Filed under: uncultured bacterium
Lineage: Bacteria
Description: partial 16S ribosomal RNA
Rfam family: Bacterial small subunit ribosomal RNA
Source: RNAcentral
AUUGAACGCUGGCGGAAUGCUUUACACAUGCAAGUCGAGCGGCAGCACGGGGGCAACCCUGGUGGCGAGCGGCGAACGGGUGAGUAAUACAUCGGAACAUGCCCAGUCGUGGGGGAUAACACUUCGAAAGAAGUGCUAGUACCGCAUACGUCCUGAGGGGGAAAGCGGGGGAUCGCAAGACCUCGCGCGAUUGGAGUGGCCGAUGUCAGAUUAGCUAGUUGGUGGGGUAAAGGCCUACCAAGGCAACGAUCUGUAGCUGGUCUGAGAGGAUGAUCAGCCACACUGGGACUGAGACACGGCCCAGACUCCUACGGGAGGCAGCAGUGGGGAAUUUUGGACAAUGGGGGCAACCCUGAUCCAGCCAUUCCGCGUGAGUGAAGAAGGCCUUCGGGUUGUAAAGCUCUUUCGGCAGGAACGAAACGGUGAGCUCUAACAUAGCUUGCUAAUGACGGUACCUGAAGAAGAAGCACCGGCUAACUACGUG